Molecule: long non-coding RNA, 501 nt
Filed under: Gossypium barbadense (sea-island cotton)
Lineage: Eukaryota; Viridiplantae; Streptophyta; Magnoliopsida; Malvales; Malvaceae
Description: long non-coding RNA (GBAR_LNC001943)
Source: RNAcentral
UGACUCUUAACCCCCCAUUCUCACCAUCGCUGCCUUCAGAUCCUCCCCUCGAAUAAGAGAGGUAUCGUUACGUUCUAGCUCGCCGUUUGAUCCUAAAGAGGUAUCAUUAGCUUCUCUCGUGUUGCUUAUUUCAGAUUCAGAUAAACUCACGGCCAGUAUGCUUCUAGCUCAAGUCGACGAAACCUAUGGCGCCGAUGAAGGGUUUUGGGGUUCAGAAAGUGAAGCGUUGAAGAGAAAGCUAGCGAAAGCAAAAGCCGGCUUUGUCGCUGCUGUUGUUUUUGACGCAGUGACGCUUUUGUUCUUUUAGUGGUCCUUUGAUAGGUGAAGAAGCAAGCGGUGGCAAGAGAGGUGGCGCAAUAUUCCAGCUUGAGAAGAACGAGGAAGCUAGAGCACAUUAAUGAGGUCGAUUGGGCUGCCAAUCAACAAAGAAGCGUCCUGUGAUAAAAAGAAAUUAUAUUAAAAUUGGAAAGUAAAGGAAUAACACGUGGAAAUUAAAAGGAA